AUGUUAUCAGGGUUGGUAUCUCUGAUUCUUCUUGAAGUAUCUUUUUUAAAAAAGAUUUAUCUAUUUGACAGUCAGUUACACAGAGAGAGAAGGAGGAGCAGAGAGAGAGAGAGAGAGAGAGAGAGAAAGAGAGAGAGAGAGAGGUCUUCCAUCCGAUGGUUCACCUCCCAAUUGGCUACAACGGCUGGAGCUGCACUGAUCUGGACCAGGAGCCAGGAGCUUCUUCCUGGUCUCCCACGUGGGUGCAGAGGCUCAAGGACUUGGGCCAUCUUCUACUGCUUUCCCAGGCCAUAG
Molecule: long non-coding RNA, 294 nt
Filed under: Oryctolagus cuniculus (rabbit)
Lineage: Eukaryota; Metazoa; Chordata; Mammalia; Lagomorpha; Leporidae
Description: lncRNA (ENSOCUG00000030605.1)
Source: RNAcentral